RNAcentral lists this ribosomal RNA (330 nucleotides) under uncultured bacterium. Its description in RNAcentral is "bacterial SSU rRNA". It matches the Rfam family "Bacterial small subunit ribosomal RNA", at positions 568 to 898 of the family's 1533-position model. The record is from RNAcentral.
UUCGUAGGCGGUGUGGCAAGUCGGGAGUGAAAUCUCUGGGCUCAACUCAGAGACUGCUUCCGAAACUGCUGUGCUUGAGUGUGGGAGAGGCGCGUGGAAUUGCAGGUGUAGCGGUGAAAUGCGUAGAUAUCUGCAGGAACACCCGUGGCGAAAGCGGCGCGCUGGACCACUACUGACGCUGAGGAACGAAAGCUAGGGGAGCAAACAGGAUUAGAUACCCUGGUAGUCCUAGCCCUAAACGAUCAGGACUUGGGGUGCCGCACGUUCGUGCGUCGUCCCGGAGCUAACGCGUUAAGUCCUGCACCUGGGGAGUACGGUCGCAAGACUGAA